Molecule: ribosomal RNA, 301 nt
Filed under: uncultured bacterium
Lineage: Bacteria
Description: partial 16S ribosomal RNA
Rfam family: Bacterial small subunit ribosomal RNA
Source: RNAcentral
CAGCAGCCGCGGGAAUACGUAGGUGGCAAGCGUUGUCCGGAAUUAUUGGGCGUAAAGGGCUCGCAGGCGGUUUCUUAAGUCUGAUGUGAAAGCCCCCGGCUCAACCGGGGAGGGUCAUUGGAAACUGGGAAACUUGAGUGCAGAAGGGGAGAGUGGAAUUCCACGUGUAGCGGUGAAAUGCGUAGAGAUGUGGAGGAACACCAGUGGCGAAGGCGACUCUCUGGUCUGUAACUGACGCUGAGGAGCGAAAGCGUGGGGAGCGAACAGGAUUAGAUACCCGCGUAGUCCCUGUCUCUUAUAC